This 514-nucleotide ribosomal RNA is filed under the name uncultured bacterium. RNAcentral's name for it is "partial 16S ribosomal RNA". It matches the Rfam family "Bacterial small subunit ribosomal RNA", at positions 28 to 508 of the family's 1533-position model. The record is from RNAcentral.
GACGAACGCUGGCGGCGUGCUUAACACAUGCAAGUCGAACGAGAGCGUAGAGAAAGCUUGCUUUUUCUACAAUCUAGUGGCAAACGGGUGAGUAACGCGUAAACAACCUGCCCUACGGAUGGGGACAACAGCUGGAAACGGCUGCUAAUACCGAAUACGUUCCGAAAGUCGCAUGACUAUCGGAAGAAAGGAUGGCCUCUAUUUAUAAGCUAUCGCCGGAGGAGGGGUUUGCGUCUGAUUAGCUAGUUGGAGGGGUAACGGCCCACCAAGGCGACGAUCAGUAGCCGGUCUGAGAGGAUGAACGGCCACAUUGGAACUGAGACACGGUCCAGACUCCUACGGGAGGCAGCAGUGGGGAAUCUUCCGCAAUGGGCGAAAGCCUGACGGAGCAACGCCGCGUGAGUGAAGACGGCCUUCGGGUUGUAAAGCUCUGUUAUACGGGACGAAUAAUCUUGUGGUUAAUACCCAUGAGAAGUGACGGUACCGUAAGAGAAAGCCACGGCUAACUACGUGC